RNAcentral lists this ribosomal RNA (253 nucleotides) under uncultured bacterium. RNAcentral's name for it is "partial 16S ribosomal RNA". It matches the Rfam family "Bacterial small subunit ribosomal RNA", at positions 524 to 776 of the family's 1533-position model. The record is from RNAcentral.
UACGGAGGGGGCAAGCGUUAUUCGGAAUUAUUGGGCGUAAAGGGCGCGUAGGCGGCUCGAUAAGUCAAAGGUGAAAUCCCUCGGCUCAACUGAGGAACUGCCUUUGAAACUGUAGAGCUUGAGUCCGGGAGGGGGUAGCGGAAUUCCCAGUGUAGCGGUGAAAUGCGUAGAUAUGCGGAGGAACACCGAUGGCGAAGGCAAUCCCCUGGACCUGUACUGACGCUCAUGCACGAAAGCGUGGGGAGCAAACAGG